This 482-nucleotide ribosomal RNA is filed under the name uncultured bacterium. Its description in RNAcentral is "bacterial SSU rRNA". It matches the Rfam family "Bacterial small subunit ribosomal RNA", at positions 27 to 507 of the family's 1533-position model. The record is from RNAcentral.
CGGACGAACGCUGGCGGCGUGCCUAACACAUGCAAGUCGAGCGAGAAGCUUACAAGCAAGCCUUCGGGCGAGCGAGUAAGCGGAAAGCGGCGGACGGGUGAGUAACGCGUGAGCAAUCUGCCUUAAGGAGGGGGAUAACACAGAGAAAUCUGUGCUAAUACCGCAUAACAUAUAUAUUUCGCAUGGGAUAUAUAUCAAAGCUCCGGCGCCUUAAGAUGAGCUCGCGUCCGAUUAGUUAGUUGGUAGGGUAAAGGCCUACCAAGGCGACGAUCAGUAGCCGGCCUGAGAGGGUGACCGGCCACACUGGGACUGAGACACGGCCCAGACUCCUACGGGAGGCAGCAGUGGGGAAUCUUCCGCAAUGGGCGAAAGCCUGACGGAGCAACGCCGCGUGGGUGAAGAAGGCCUUCGGGUUGUAAAGCCCUGUCUUAUGGGACGAGGAGGAGACGGUACCAUAGGAGGAAGCCACGGCUAACUACGUG